CGAACGGGUGAGUAACACGUGGGCAACCUGCCCAAAANAGGGGAUAACACUGGAAACAGGUGCUAAUACCGCAUAACCAUAGUUACCGCAUGGUAACUAUGUAAAAGGUGGCUAUGCUACCGCUUUUGGAUGGGCCCGCGGCGCAUUAGCUAGUUGGUGGGGUAAAGGCUUACCAAGGCAAUGAUGCGUAGCCGAACUGAGAGGUUGAUCGGCCACAUUGGGACUGAGACACGGCCCAAACUCCUACGGAAGGCAGCAG
This 259-nucleotide ribosomal RNA is filed under the name uncultured bacterium. Its description in RNAcentral is "partial 16S ribosomal RNA". It matches the Rfam family "Bacterial small subunit ribosomal RNA", at positions 99 to 354 of the family's 1533-position model. The record is from RNAcentral.